GAGACCGGCGCACGGGUGCGUAACGCGUAUGCAAUCUACCUUUUACAGAGGGAUAGCCCAGAGAAAUUUGGAUUAAUACCUCAUAGCAUAGCAGCUUCGCAUGAAGCCACUAUUAAAGUCACAACGGUAAAAGAUGAGCAUGCGUCCCAUUAGCUAGUUGGUAAGGUAACGGCUUACCAAGGCUACGAUGGGUAGGGGUCCUGAGAGGGAGAUCCCCCACACUGGUACUGAGACACGGACCAGACUCCUACGGGAGGCAGCAGUGAGGAAUAUUGGACAAUGGGCGCAAGCCUGAUCCAGCCAUGCCGCGUGCAGGAUGACGGUCCUAUGGAUUGUAAACUGCUUUUAUACGAGAAGAAACACUCCAACGUGUUGGAGCUUGACGGUAUCGUAAGAAUAAGGAUCGGCUAACUCCGUGCCAGCAGCCGCGGUAAUACGGAGGAUCCAAGCGUUAUCCGGAAUCAUUGGGUUUAAAGGGUCCGUAGGCGGUUUGGUAAGUCAGUGGUGAAAGCCCAUCGCUCAACGGUGGAACGGCCAUUGAUACUGCCAGACUUGAAUUAUUAGGAAGUAACUAGAAUAUGUAGUGUAGCGGUGAAAUGCUUAGAGAUUACAUGGAAUACCAAUUGCGAAGGCAGGUUACUACUAAUGGAUUGACGCUGAUGGACGAAAGCGUGGGUAGCGAACAGGAUUAGAUACCCUGGUAGUCCACGCCGUAAACGAUGGAUACUAGCUGUUGGAAGCAAUUUCAGUGGCUAAGCGAAAGUGAUAAGUAUCCCACCUGGGGAGUACGUUCGCAAGAAUGAAACUCAAAGGAAUUGACGGGGGCCCGCACAAGCGGUGGAGCAUGUGGUUUAAUUCGAUGAUACGCGAGGAACCUUACCAAGGCUUAAAUGUAGAUUGACCGGUUUGGAAACAGAUCUUUCGCAAGACAAUUUACAAGGUGCUGCAUGGUUGUCGUCAGCUCGUGCCGUGAGGUGUCAGGUUAAGUCCUAUAA
RNAcentral lists this ribosomal RNA (995 nucleotides) under Flavobacterium sp. RNAcentral's name for it is "bacterial SSU rRNA". It matches the Rfam family "Bacterial small subunit ribosomal RNA", at positions 91 to 1092 of the family's 1533-position model. Lineage: Bacteria; Pseudomonadati; Bacteroidota; Flavobacteriia; Flavobacteriales; Flavobacteriaceae. The record is from RNAcentral.